RNAcentral lists this ribosomal RNA (3022 nucleotides) under Staphylococcus aureus. RNAcentral describes it as "23S ribosomal RNA". It matches the Rfam family "Bacterial large subunit ribosomal RNA". The record is from RNAcentral. Lineage: Bacteria; Bacillati; Bacillota; Bacilli; Caryophanales; Staphylococcaceae.
GAUUAAGUUAUUAAGGGCGCACGGUGGAUGCCUUGGCACUAGAAGCCGAUGAAGGACGUUACUAACGACGAUAUGCUUUGGGGAGCUGUAAGUAAGCUUUGAUCCAGAGAUUUCCGAAUGGGGAAACCCAGCAUGAGUUAUGUCAUGUUAUCGAUAUGUGAAUACAUAGCAUAUCAGAAGGCACACCCGGAGAACUGAAACAUCUUAGUACCCGGAGGAAGAGAAAGAAAAUUCGAUUCCCUUAGUAGCGGCGAGCGAAACGGGAAGAGCCCAAACCAACAAGCUUGCUUGUUGGGGUUGUAGGACACUCUAUACGGAGUUACAAAGGACGACAUUAGACGAAUCAUCUGGAAAGAUGAAUCAAAGAAGGUAAUAAUCCUGUAGUCGAAAAUGUUGUCUCUCUUGAGUGGAUCCUGAGUACGACGGAGCACGUGAAAUUCCGUCGGAAUCUGGGAGGACCAUCUCCUAAGGCUAAAUACUCUCUAGUGACCGAUAGUGAACCAGUACCGUGAGGGAAAGGUGAAAAGCACCCCGGAAGGGGAGUGAAAUAGAACCUGAAACCGUGUGCUUACAAGUAGUCAGAGCCCGUUAAUGGGUGAUGGCGUGCCUUUUGUAGAAUGAACCGGCGAGUUACGAUUUGAUGCAAGGUUAAGCAGUAAAUGUGGAGCCGUAGCGAAAGCGAGUCUGAAUAGGGCGUUUAGUAUUUGGUCGUAGACCCGAAACCAGGUGAUCUACCCUUGGUCAGGUUGAAGUUCAGGUAACACUGAAUGGAGGACCGAACCGACUUACGUUGAAAAGUGAGCGGAUGAACUGAGGGUAGCGGAGAAAUUCCAAUCGAACCUGGAGAUAGCUGGUUCUCUCCGAAAUAGCUUUAGGGCUAGCCUCAAGUGAUGAUUAUUGGAGGUAGAGCACUGUUUGGACGAGGGGCCCCUCUCGGGUUACCGAAUUCAGACAAACUCCGAAUGCCAAUUAAUUUAACUUGGGAGUCAGAACAUGGGUGAUAAGGUCCGUGUUCGAAAGGGAAACAGCCCAGACCACCAGCUAAGGUCCCAAAAUAUAUGUUAAGUGGAAAAGGAUGUGGCGUUGCCCAGACAACUAGGAUGUUGGCUUAGAAGCAGCCAUCAUUUAAAGAGUGCGUAAUAGCUCACUAGUCGAGUGACACUGCGCCGAAAAUGUACCGGGGCUAAACAUAUUACCGAAGCUGUGGAUUGUCCUUUGGACAAUGGUAGGAGAGCGUUCUAAGGGCGUUGAAGCAUGAUCGUAAGGACAUGUGGAGCGCUUAGAAGUGAGAAUGCCGGUGUGAGUAGCGAAAGACGGGUGAGAAUCCCGUCCACCGAUUGACUAAGGUUUCCAGAGGAAGGCUCGUCCGCUCUGGGUUAGUCGGGUCCUAAGCUGAGGCCGACAGGCGUAGGCGAUGGAUAACAGGUUGAUAUUCCUGUACCACCUAUAAUCGUUUUAAUCGAUGGGGGGACGCAGUAGGAUAGGCGAAGCGUGCGAUUGGAUUGCACGUCUAAGCAGUAAGGCUGAGUAUUAGGCAAAUCCGGUACUCGUUAAGGCUGAGCUGUGAUGGGGAGAAGACAUUGAGUNNNNNNNNNNNNNNNNNNNNNNNNNNNNNNNNNNNNNNNNNNNNNNNNNNNNNNNNNNNNNNNNNNNNNNNNNNNNNNNNNNNNNNNNNNNNNNNNNGUCUUCGAGUCGUUGAUUUCACACUGCCGAGAAAAGCCUCUAGAUAGAAAAUAGGUGCCCGUACCGCAAACCGACACAGGUAGUCAAGAUGAGAAUUCUAAGGUGAGCGAGCGAACUCUCGUUAAGGAACUCGGCAAAAUGACCCCGUAACUUCGGGAGAAGGGGUGCUCUUUAGGGUUAACGCCCAGAAGAGCCGCAGUGAAUAGGCCCAAGCGACUGUUUAUCAAAAACACAGGUCUCUGCUAAACCGUAAGGUGAUGUAUAGGGGCUGACGCCUGCCCGGUGCUGGAAGGUUAAGAGGAGUGGUUAGCUUCUGCGAAGCUACGAAUCGAAGCCCCAGUAAACGGCGGCCGUAACUAUAACGGUCCUAAGGUAGCGAAAUUCCUUGUCGGGUAAGUUCCGACCCGCACGAAAGGCGUAACGAUUUGGGCACUGUCUCAACGAGAGACUCGGUGAAAUCAUAGUACCUGUGAAGAUGCAGGUUACCCGCGACAGGACGGAAAGACCCCGUGGAGCUUUACUGUAGCCUGAUAUUGAAAUUCGGCACAGCUUGUACAGGAUAGGUAGGAGCCUUUGAAACGUGAGCGCUAGCUUACGUGGAGGCGCUGGUGGGAUACUACCCUAGCUGUGUUGGCUUUCUAACCCGCACCACUUAUCGUGGUGGGAGACAGUGUCAGGCGGGCAGUUUGACUGGGGCGGUCGCCUCCUAAAAGGUAACGGAGGCGCUCAAAGGUUCCCUCAGAAUGGUUGGAAAUCAUUCAUAGAGUGUAAAGGCAUAAGGGAGCUUGACUGCGAGACCUACAAGUCGAGCAGGGUCGAAAGACGGACUUAGUGAUCCGGUGGUUCCGCAUGGAAGGGCCAUCGCUCAACGGAUAAAAGCUACCCCGGGGAUAACAGGCUUAUCUCCCCCAAGAGUUCACAUCGACGGGGAGGUUUGGCACCUCGAUGUCGGCUCAUCGCAUCCUGGGGCUGUAGUCGGUCCCAAGGGUUGGGCUGUUCGCCCAUUAAAGCGGUACGCGAGCUGGGUUCAGAACGUCGUGAGACAGUUCGGUCCCUAUCCGUCGUGGGCGUAGGAAAUUUGAGAGGAGCUGUCCUUAGUACGAGAGGACCGGGAUGGACAUACCUCUGGUGUACCAGUUGUCGUGCCAACGGCAUAGCUGGGUAGCUAUGUGUGGACGGGAUAAGUGCUGAAAGCAUCUAAGCAUGAAGCCCCCCUCAAGAUGAGAUUUCCCAACUUCGGUUAUAAGAUCCCUCAAAGAUGAUGAGGUUAAUAGGUUCGAGGUGGAAGCAUGGUGACAUGUGGAGCUGACGAAUACUAAUCGAUCGAAGACUUAAUCAA